Sinocyclocheilus rhinocerous is the source of this 407-nucleotide long non-coding RNA. RefSeq lists it as uncharacterized. The transcript is spliced from 4 exons. The record is from RefSeq and is a predicted model, not a curated record. NCBI's taxonomy places the organism in Eukaryota, Metazoa, Chordata, Actinopteri, Cypriniformes, Cyprinidae.
GGCUCCACUACAUUUCUUUCCUUGGCUCUCCUGUUGUUUGGUGAACAGUGAGAGGGAGCAGGAGAGAGUUUGAGAUGGUAGUAAGAGGGCUCCAGCUGUGCAAUGAGAUUCUUCAAGGGUCAAGACUGACGAUUAGGGAUGAAAGUGACGCUGAAAAGAUGCCUGCUUUUUAACUCGAAAAUAUAAACAAAGUUAGAGCAAAGAACUGAAGAAGCUGGAAACAGGAUACUGGCACAAAGAUAAAUGUACCGUAGUUGGGAAGAGGAGUUGUUGGGGAAGACAAGGUUUCCUGUCCUGUUGAUCAUGAGGAAGGGUGGACUCCCCAAUCUUUCAGAGUCAUUCUUACUGAGCAGGGUCAGUAGGAAAAGCAUCAUCACUGUAAAAAUCAUAAUUUAACUGACCCUGUG